GCAGUGAUGGUUCAGUGGUAGGAUUCUUGCCUUCCAGGCGGGAGACCUGUGUUCGAUUCCCAGCCAGUGCA
RNAcentral lists this transfer RNA (71 nucleotides) under Loxodonta africana (African savanna elephant). It matches the Rfam family "tRNA". Rfam says of the family: Transfer RNA (tRNA) molecules are approximately 80 nucleotides in length. Their secondary structure includes four short double-helical elements and three loops (D, anti-codon, and T loops). Further hydrogen bonds mediate the characteristic L-shaped molecular structure. tRNAs have two regions of fundamental functional importance: the anti-codon, which is responsible for specific mRNA codon recognition, and the 3' end, to which the tRNAs corresponding amino acid is attached (by aminoacyl-tRNA synthetases). tRNAs cope with the degeneracy of the genetic code in two manners: having more than one tRNA (with a specific anti-codon) for a particular amino acid; and 'wobble' base-pairing, i.e. permitting non-standard base-pairing at the 3rd anti-codon position. The record is from Rfam by way of RNAcentral. Lineage: Eukaryota; Metazoa; Chordata; Mammalia; Proboscidea; Elephantidae.